Molecule: ribosomal RNA, 279 nt
Filed under: uncultured bacterium
Lineage: Bacteria
Description: partial 16S ribosomal RNA
Rfam family: Bacterial small subunit ribosomal RNA
Source: RNAcentral
UGCCAGCCGCCGCGGUAAUACGUAGGGAGCGAGCGUUGUCCGGAAUUACUGGGCGUAAAGGGUGCGUAGGCGGCAAUAUAAGUCGUUUGUGAAAUCCCCGGGCUUAACCCGGGAUGUGCAGGCGAAACUAUAUAGCUUGAGUAUGGUAGAGGAGAAUGGAAUUCCUAGUGUAGCGGUAAAAUGCGUAGAUAUUAGGAGGAACACCAGUGGCGAAGGCGGCUUUCUGGACCAAUACUGACGCUGAGAUGCGAAAGCGUGGGGAGCGAACAGGAUUAGAUA